CCGAGAGUCUGCGACAGCAGCUGCCAGUGCGUCAUCAGAGGGCGCCGGAAGCGGUCCGAGAAUGAAGAGUGUGAUCUACCAUGCAUUGUCUCAGAAAGAGGCGAACGACUCUGAUGUCCAGCCUUCAGGAGCACAGCGGGCCGAGGCCUUCGUGAGGGCCUUCCUGAAGCGCAGCACGCCUCGCAUGAGCCCGCAGGCCCGCGAGGACCAGCUGCAGCGCAAGGCGGUGGUCCUGGAGUACUUCACCCACCACAAGCGCAAGGAGAAGAAGAAGAAAGCCAAAGGUCUCUCUGCCAGGCAAAGGAGGGAGCUGCGGCUCUUUGACAUUAAACCAGAGCAGCAGAGAUACAGCCUUUUCCUCCCUCUCCAUGAACUCUGGAAACAGUACAUCAGGGACCUGUGCAAUGGGCUCAAGCCAGACACGCAGCCACAGAUGAUUCAGGCCAAACUGUUAAAGGCAGAUCUUCACGGGGCUAUUAUUUCAGGGACCCCUGUUGGUACCCUAAAGGGCACAGUGGCUGCGAGCACUCACCCACGGCCUGGAAUCUUGAACACAGAAUCCCUUUCAUCCAAUGCUGUGGUUUCAAAUGUCAGCUACACCUGACAGCCCCCAAGGUGACAUCUCCAGUGUAGGUCUGUCCCCUGAACUCCAGGCUCAGGCAUCCAGCUGCCCACUUGACACAGCCACCUGGAUGUUCAGGGGGCAUCUCAGACUUUACACAGCCAAAGCUGCCCCCGAUUCUCCUCACAACAACCCCUCCUGGUCUUUUCCAUCUCAGUUAAUUACUCAGUUAUCUACACUGGCUGUUCAUGCCAAAAACCUAAACAGUGUCUAUGUUUCUUCUUUCCUAAUUUCCUCUAAUCCUUCGGAACAUCCUACUACCUAAAUUCAGCCACUGUCAUUCCCCAGAUUACCUCAGACACAGCUCCUCACCGCACCAGGCAGCCGGAGUGCUGGUUAUAUAGAAAUCAGAGCGCGUUCCUUCCCUGCUUCAAGUCUUCCGGCAGCGUCCCAUCGUAUGGGAGUAAACCUGCCUCCUGCUGUGGUCUAAGGCCUCCCCGCUCCCUGGGGCAGCAGGCCUUCCACACUGCCUUCCUCCUGCCCCGCCUCAGGGCUUCGCCUCUGCCCCUUACCACUGCCCGGGAGUUCUCCUGUGUGUGCACAGACCGGCUUCUCAUUGUUCAGCCCUGCUCCAAUGCCACUCCCCUGAGGGUCUACCAUUGCAAACCAUGACCCUCCACACAUUGCCCUGUCCCUACUCUUCAUAGCACUGGUUGCUGUCAGAAAGUAGAAUGGUGUGGUUCACCGUGCAUCACUCUGCCUUGCUAGAACCUGGGCUCCAUGAGAGUAGGAUCCAGGACUGCCUGUUUCCGUGCUGCGUCCCUGGCAUCUCCUGAGGAUGGUGCAGGCAUUCCGCAGCUGCUUGGUGACUCUGUCAGCUACGCUGAGGCUCGGGUCAGGACGACGGAAGGGCUGCUGCUUGUGAUGGUGGCUCAUCUCGCAGUGCUGGCUGCUGGGCAGCUCUGCAGCCAGACUCACGUUCCAGCCAGCAUCCUGGGUAGUGCAUGGUGGUGUUUGUGCAGAUCCUGCAACGGAGACCUGGCUGCAUCAGAGCAGCCAGACUGUGGGCCCUGAUGGUGCUCGGCACGUAUGUGACCUUUGAUUCCAGAAUCCUGCCCAAGACCCCUGUGGUCACAGACUCUCCGAAGGACACCUCAUAGGAACAGUCCAGAGGCUGCAAAGCCCCAGGGAAAGCCUGGGUUCUCGUCGGUUACGUCAGUGCCCACUGUUGAGCCCCCACCCCCUGGGUGCUCUCUUCUUUCGUCUGCUAGCUCAGAGGGUGGGACCAGCACCCCCAACCCCUGAGGCCUGCUUGUCUGUGUUUCCCCCAGCACCACAGAGGCCUGAGCCUGGAACUGUCCUUUUUCUUUGCAGUGACAAAAUCCAAAUGCCCCUCUUAUGUGGGUAUUACAGGAAUCCUUCUACAGGAAACAAAGCACAUUUUCAAAAUUAUCACCAAAGAAGACCGCCUGAAAGUUAUCCCCAAGCUAAACUGCGUGUUCACUGUGGAAAUCGAUGGCUUUAUUUCCUACAUUUACGGGAGCAAAUUCCAGCUUCGGUCAAGUGAACGGUCUGCGAAGAAGUUCAAAGCGAAGGGAACGAUUGACCUGUGAAUUCUUUGCUGUCUAAGGCAGUUGUUUAUGACAGCUGAAAACUGGACACUCCCUAAAUGUCCACCUUUCAGUGAAGAGAUGCUUAAGCCAAUUCCAUUUCUAGACCACCUCCAGCCAGUGGCGCUCCGAGUUGAGGAUGUUGAACAACAUGGCAGGGCCGCAGUGUACUAAGUGAAGAAGUCAGAGGACAGAGGAAUUUCUCUUUCUAGGAGAUCUUCAUUUUGUGUGACUCCCAUGGGGAGGAACAGACUGGCAGGAAGCACACUAGGGUUAACACUGGUUGACUUGAAUAGGAUUAUUCGAUUUUUAAAAAUACUUUUCCACGUUUUCUAAGUGCUCUAUGAUAAAUCAGUUGCAUCUGUGAUAAUACAAUACACAUGCGGACAUAAACAGGGAUCAAAUAAAGGAGGUAUUGCUGCAGUCCAGCCAGGUUGAAAGGGAAGGGGGUCCCCAAAGGUCCACUGGAUGGCAGGUGUCUACAGAGGUGCGCCUUUGGGUGGAACUCUGACCCACCUCAGGUUUACUUUGCUAUUUCAGGAAGGUUGAAGAGGAUUGAAGGGUGAGUUCCUAAGUGACUUAGGGCUUAUUCACUUCAGGAAUCGCAGCUGGGGUGGACCCCAGGAGCAGAGCACUGCGUGCAGCUGUGCCCAUGCAUGGUCGCCCCGGCGUAGUGAGAUGGGACCUGCCGCAGCAUGCCCACUCCUGAGCUGCCAGGCUGAGCCAUGGAGGACUGAAAGGAGGUCGCCCAGCAUCACCUCCCGAGGUGAGACCUGCUGCAAAAGCCAAGCCAGCAGCAUUGACACCCUUUAAUGUCUUCACCAUUUUUGCUGCUGAAAGACUUGGCUUUUCAGUCUGACCCUGGCCCUCUGUGACGAUGUAUCUGUAAAGCCAGUGGGUCAGGCCCUUCCAUGCAGGGCCAGAGGAAAAGCGGGCCCAGGGCUGCAGUGAGAGCGGGGCAGGGGACGAGCCUACUAGAUGGGUUGGAAACAUGGCUCAGAGGGACCAACUACCCCUUCCCUUUGAGGAGCAAGUCUCUGCCGAUCAGCAAGGCAAGGCCAGGAGCCCUCCUGGCAAAAGGCAAGCCACAAAUCUGUUCUGCAGGAGAAGCAGCAGUGCCGAGGCUUUGCGUUCCUGGUAACUUCCACCCAAACCACACCAGAGAGAAACACCAUGGUGGAGAAGGGAAGUGGGAACGCUGACUGCUGUGUGCCAGGAGAGUAGAAAGGCCCAGGUCUGUGCCACCGCCCCUCCCCAUGGCUCAUAGUGCACCCAGAGUCUCACAGGGACCAACCCGGUGCCUCGGUCCUGCUUCCAUCUGUGCAAGUGUCCUCCGCUUACCAGGGUGUUCUGAGGCAGCUCAAGUGCUCUCCCCCAAGCAGCACGCAGUCACCGCUGCCAGUGAUGCACACACGCACAGGCUAGGCACAUGGAGCCCAAGUACACUGCCAGCUUGGACACUGGGCCCGGCCCAGCAACUGCCUUGUGGUGUGGCUGUCCUCAUCUGCCACAGGAAGACAGACUUCGAGGGACCCCUUGCCUAAGGCCUCGCUGAUUCAAGGGUAGAAUUGAGAUUUGGACCUAAUAGGCUCCAGAACUGUGCUUUGAGCUAUAGGGUGGCUGCAGGGUGAGACGGAUGCAGUUCAAAGCGCAGGAUGUGCUGCCUUUAUUACCUGCUUUCCCGCUGAGCAAAUCCCUGUCUUGAGUGGGAAGUGGCAUCUAUUCCCCCAGCCAUCUGAAAGUGCUGUGUUCAUAACCGAAUAGGUGCUGUAGCUUCCUAGCCAUCCCACUCUUACCCACCCCUCUGCAGUGUAAAAGGCAUCCACUGUUGUGUAAAUACACAGUUGCUUUCCAGAAAA
RNA transcript from Nomascus leucogenys (northern white-cheeked gibbon), 4031 nucleotides. It is a transcript of the gene named POP4 homolog, ribonuclease P/MRP subunit, with no coding region annotated. The record is from RefSeq and is a predicted model, not a curated record. The transcript has 7 exons. Lineage: Eukaryota; Metazoa; Chordata; Mammalia; Primates; Hylobatidae.